ACGGGGGGGACGAGCGUUGUUCGGAUUUACUGGGCGUAAAGGGCGCGUAGGCGGGCCUUCAAGUCAGAUGUGAAAACUCCGGGCUUAACUCGGAGCCUGCAUUUGAUACUGUAGGUCUUGAGUACAGGAGAGGAGAGUGGAAUUCCAGGUGUAGCGGUGAAAUGCGUAGAUAUCUGGAAGAACACCAGUAGCGAAGGCGGCUCUCUGGACUGAUACUGACGCUCAAGCGCGAAGGCUUGGGGAGCAAACA
This 250-nucleotide ribosomal RNA is filed under the name uncultured bacterium. RNAcentral describes it as "partial 16S ribosomal RNA". It matches the Rfam family "Bacterial small subunit ribosomal RNA", at positions 525 to 774 of the family's 1533-position model. The record is from RNAcentral.